CAGGGUGCUAGAGUUCAAGAGAGAGUGCAUGCAGGGACUGUGUAACAUCAUCAGGAAAGUGCAGGACAAGAGCCCCCUCAAGUAUCUGACUGUUAGGCAGUUGGUGUGCCUGGAUCCGUCAGUAAUGUACAGAGAACCCGAAAGAUGCAGGAAUCACAUGAAAGGGCUGGUUCAGAGGUUUCUUCAGGAUAAACAGCUAACUGAUACUUCUGCAGGUAGGAAUAAGAGGCAAAUUAUAGACUUCACAAGAAUUUAUCCUCAAUCUGAUUUGCUGGUAAUGCCCAAUGAUUUAUCAAUGUUUUUCUCUAUUUUUUCUCAUCUGUUUUGUCAUAGGGGACGUCAUACUGCAGCAGUUUGACAGUCUCCUGUCCUUGGAGAGCAGGAGUGAGGACUUCCUCUCCUUUCCUCCCAUGCAGAAGAGGCUGGACGUCUUCCUGUGCAGUGCCAUGGAGCCUUAUCCAGAGCUGUGGGCCUUCUGCAAGAAGCUGCUCAUCCUCUCCCACGGCCAAGCUACGGUUGAACGUGGAUUCUCCAUCAAUAAAGAGGUUGAGUCAGAUAACUUGAAGGAGGACACUGUGGUCACACGGAGACUGGUGUGUGACUACAUCAUACAACAUGGAGGUGUUACCCAGGUUCCACUCAGUAAACAGCUACUGGCAAGUGUAGCAAGAGCUAGGACAAGGUAUCGUAUCCAUCUUGAGACCAAUAGAAAGAACAAGGAGGCAAAAGACCAGGCUCUCAAGAGGAAGGAGGCAGAGGACUGUCUUCAGGAGUUGAAGGUGAAGCGAAGAUGCAUACAGGAGGUAUCUGAGGGUCUGGCUAGGGAUGCGGACAGGCUGGCUGAGGAGGCUGAAGCGAAGGCAGGGAGCAAAAUGGCUGACCUGAUCACCAGGUCCAACAUCCUGCGGAGAGGCCAUAAGGAGAAGUUGGCAGAAAUGGCUCUCCUUGAUAAAGAGAUCACUGCUAAGAGUGCAGAACUUAGGGGUUGAUUGUGUGAUCGUAAUCUUAUUUAUUGUUGAGUUUAUUUUAAUUGUGUAUUGCUCAAGAGUGUACUCCCCAUAUUCCCAACAUGGAAUAAGUAGAUUGGUUAAUGUUAGCAAUGUUAAAAAAACAACUUAACUGUGUUAAGCAAUCUUUUUUUUUUUGUGGUCUGCUGAAAAUUUCUUUGGUUUUUCACACCUCUGUUUGGCUUGUCUGUGGUCUGUGCUGUGGUGUUGUAGCGUAAGUAGGCCUACUCACUAUUAUGCUGCAAUAUUACAUAAUUCUUCCAUAAUGCUUUACGCAGUCCACAUUUUCACAUUUGUUUGAGAAAUAAAUGAUCAAACAAAAAAAAGUGUUUUUCUUUG
Molecule: long non-coding RNA, 1346 nt
Filed under: Gouania willdenowi (blunt-snouted clingfish)
Lineage: Eukaryota; Metazoa; Chordata; Actinopteri; Blenniiformes; Gobiesocidae
Description: lncRNA (ENSGWIG00000022623.1)
Source: RNAcentral